CCUACGGGAGGCAGCAGUGAGGAAUAUUGCACAAUGGGCGAAACCCUGAUCCAGCCACGCCGCGUGAGUGAAGAAGUAUUUCUGUAUGUAAAGCUCUAUCUGCAGGGAAGUAAAUGACGGUACCUGAUUAAGUAGCCACGUCUAACUACGUGCCGGCAGCCGCGGUACUACGUAGGAGGCCAGCGUUAUCCGGAGUUACUGGGUGUAAAGGGGGCGUAGACGGCAGCGCAAGUCUGUAGUGAAAUGCCGGGGCUUAACCCCGGAACUGCUGUUGAAACUGGGCAGCUAGAGUGCAGGAGAGGUAAGUGGAAUUCCUAGUGUAGCGGUGAAAUGCGUAGAUAUCAGGCAGAACACCAGUGGCGAAGGCGGCUUACUGGACUGUAACUGACGUUGAGGCACGAAAGCGUGGGGAGCAAACAGGAUUAGAUACCCGAGUAGUC
RNAcentral lists this ribosomal RNA (440 nucleotides) under uncultured bacterium. Its description in RNAcentral is "partial 16S ribosomal RNA". It matches the Rfam family "Bacterial small subunit ribosomal RNA", at positions 338 to 795 of the family's 1533-position model. The record is from RNAcentral.